GACGAACGCUGGCGGCGUGCUUAACACAUGCAAGUCGAACGGAAAGGCCCUGCUUUUGUGGGGUUCUCGAGUGGCGAACGGGUGAGUAACACGUGAGUAACCUGCCCUUGACUUUGGUAUAACUUCAGGAAACUGGGGCUAAUACCGGAUAGGAGCUCCUGCUGCAUGGUGGUGGUUGGAAAGUUUCGGCGGUUGGGGAUGGACUCGCGGCUUAUCAGCUUGUUGGUGGGGUAGUGGCUUACCAAGGCUUUGACGGGUAGCCGGCCUGAGAGGGUGACCGGCCACAUUGGGCCUGAGGUACGGCCCAGACUCCUACGGGAGGCAGCAGGGGGGAAUAUGGAACAAUGGGCGGAAGCCUGAUGCGGCAACGCCGCGUGCGGAAUGACGGCCUUCGGGUUGUAAACCGCUUUCGCCUGUGACGAGGCGUUAGUGACGGUAAUGAGUAAAGAAGCACCGGCUAACUACGUG
RNAcentral lists this ribosomal RNA (468 nucleotides) under uncultured bacterium. RNAcentral describes it as "partial 16S ribosomal RNA". It matches the Rfam family "Bacterial small subunit ribosomal RNA", at positions 28 to 507 of the family's 1533-position model. The record is from RNAcentral.